RNAcentral lists this transfer RNA (67 nucleotides) under Amaroschema gaudini. RNAcentral's name for it is "tRNA-Tyr". RNAcentral also lists the same sequence under 3 other names. Lineage: Eukaryota; Metazoa; Arthropoda; Insecta; Coleoptera; Carabidae. The record is from RNAcentral.
GGUAAAAUGGCUGAGAUAUAGGUAAUAAACUGUAAAUUUAUUUAGGAAAUUUUAAUUUCUUUUACCA